RNAcentral lists this non-coding RNA (27 nucleotides) under Bombyx mori (domestic silkworm). Lineage: Eukaryota; Metazoa; Arthropoda; Insecta; Lepidoptera; Bombycidae. The record is from RNAcentral.
UCUGAUAUCUACGGUGCGCACCACGUU